GGAGUCCUGAAGUGUUCGUGGAUUACCAUAAAGUUUUGAGCCAACAUUUUUACAACGGGAGCCUGCCGGUUUCCAUUUGGCGUGCAAGCCUCCAAUGGAGUGGACGUACAAAGAAUGGAACAGGGCACCCACCUGCCGAGAGCAGGUUCAAAACUAUGGUGUUUAAACGGCACAGUUGGGGCUCCA
Molecule: non-coding RNA, 186 nt
Filed under: Exobacillus caeni
Lineage: Bacteria; Bacillati; Bacillota; Bacilli; Caryophanales; Guptibacillaceae
Description: Pseudalkalibacillus caeni 6S / SsrS RNA
Rfam family: 6S / SsrS RNA
About the family: E. coli 6S RNA was the first non coding RNA to be sequenced, but its function was unknown until recently.
Source: Rfam by way of RNAcentral